RNAcentral lists this ribosomal RNA (253 nucleotides) under uncultured bacterium. Its description in RNAcentral is "partial 16S ribosomal RNA". It matches the Rfam family "Bacterial small subunit ribosomal RNA", at positions 524 to 776 of the family's 1533-position model. The record is from RNAcentral. RNAcentral also lists the same sequence under 1 other name.
UACGUAGGGGGCUAGCGUUGUCCGGAAUCAUUGGGCGUAAAGAGCGUGUAGGCGGCCCGGUAAGUCCGCUGUAAAAGUCAAAGGCUCAACCUUUGAAUGUCAGUGGAUACUGCCGGGCUAGAGUCCGGAAGAGGCGAGUGGAACUCCUGGUGUAGCGGUGGAAUGCGCAGAUAUCAGGAAGAACACCAACGGCGAAGGCAGCUCGCUAGGACGGUACUGACGCUGAGACGCGAAAGCGUGGGGAGCGAACAGG